CAACCAUGGCAGUUACGGGUAACGGGGAGUUAGGGUUCGGUUCCGGAGAGGGAGCCUGAGAAACGGCUACCACAUCUAAGGAAGGCAGCAGGCGCGUAAAUUACCCAAUCCUGAUUCAGGGAGGUAGUGACAAGAAAUAACAACCUGGGGGACUUCUGUCCUUACGGGAUUGCAAUGAGAACAAUUUAAACGACUUAUCGAGGAACAAUUGGAGGGCAAGUCUGGUGCCAGCAGCUGCGGUAAUUCCAGCUCCAAUAGCGUAUAUUAAAGUUGUUGCAGUUAAAAAGCUCGUAGUUGAACUUCUGCAUGUGUCCGGUUCUGGCUCCGGUCAAGCCGUCUUUUUUUGACGCAUGCAUCCGCUUGCAAACCUGGACCGGCAUUCACUUGUCGACCAGUGGGAGCAGGCCUUUUACUUUGAAAAAAUUAGAGUGUUUCAAGCAGGCAAUGGCUCGAAUACAUUAGCAUGGAAUAAUGGAAUAGGACUUUUGUCCAUUUGGUUGGUUAUUGGACAUAAGUAAUGAUUAACAGGGACAGUUGGGGGCAUUAGUAUUUAAUUGUCAGAGGUGAAAUUCUUGGAUUUAUUAAAGACUAACUUAUGCGAAAGCAUUUGCCAAGGAUGUUUUCA
Molecule: ribosomal RNA, 625 nt
Filed under: uncultured ciliate
Lineage: Eukaryota; Ciliophora
Description: bacterial SSU rRNA
Rfam family: Eukaryotic small subunit ribosomal RNA
Source: RNAcentral